UUGGCUCAGGAUGAACGCUGGCGGCGUGCCUAACACAUGCAAGUCGAGCGAGACUCCGGCAGAAGAGACUUCGGUUAAAUCAGUCGGACGAUAGCGGCGGACGGGUGAGUAACGCGUAGGCAAUCUGCCCCGUACAGAGGGAUAGCCGUUGGAAACGACGAGUAAGACCUCAUGAUGCAGCACUUUCACAUGGGAGAGCUGCCAAAGAUUUAUCGGUAUGGGAUGAGCCUGCGUCUGAUUAGCUGGUUGGUGAGGUAACGGCCCACCAAGGCGACGAUCAGUAGCCGACCUGAGAGGGUGAUCGGCCACAUUGGAACUGAGACACGGUCCAAACUCCUACGGGAGGCAGCAGUGGGGAAUA
Molecule: ribosomal RNA, 361 nt
Filed under: uncultured rumen bacterium clone 21
Lineage: Bacteria
Also listed under: 1 other name
Description: bacterial SSU rRNA
Rfam family: Bacterial small subunit ribosomal RNA
Source: RNAcentral